GACAGAGGUGGCAAGCGUUGUUCGGAAUUACUGGGCUUAAAGGGCGCGUAGGCGGUGGAGUAAGUCCGGAGUGGAAUCCCGCAGCUUAACUGCGGGACUGCUUUGGAAACUGCUUUACUUGAGUCAGCGAGGGGAAGGCGGAAUUCCUGGUGUAGCGGUGAAAUGCGUAGAUAUCAGGAGGAAGGCCUGUGGUGAAGACGGCCUUCUGGCGCUGCACUGACGCUGAGGCGCGAAAGCGUGGGGAGCAAAC
RNAcentral lists this ribosomal RNA (250 nucleotides) under uncultured bacterium. RNAcentral describes it as "partial 16S ribosomal RNA". It matches the Rfam family "Bacterial small subunit ribosomal RNA", at positions 524 to 773 of the family's 1533-position model. The record is from RNAcentral.